GACCACUCCGAUGGUCUAGUGGUUAGAGCGUCCGCCUCAGAUGCAAGAGGUCGUGUGUUCGAUCCCCGGUCGAGUUA
Potamilus streckersoni is the source of this 77-nucleotide non-coding RNA. Lineage: Eukaryota; Metazoa; Mollusca; Bivalvia; Unionida; Unionidae. The record is from the annotation of a GenBank genome assembly.